This 506-nucleotide ribosomal RNA is filed under the name uncultured bacterium. RNAcentral describes it as "partial 16S ribosomal RNA". The stretch from base 20 to 365 matches the Rfam family "Bacterial small subunit ribosomal RNA", at positions 47 to 391 of the family's 1533-position model. The record is from RNAcentral.
GACGAACGCUGGCGGCGUGCUUAACACAUGCAAGUCGAACGGAAAGGCCCUGCUUUUGUGGGGUGCUCGAGUGGCGAACGGGUGAGUAACACGUGAGUAACCUGCCCUUGACUUUGGGAUAACUUCAGGAAACUGGGGCUAAUACCGGAUAGGAGCUCCUGCUGCAUGGUGGGGGUUGGAAAGUUUCGGCGGUUGGGGAUGGACUCGCGGCUUAUCAGCUUGUUGGUGGGGUAGUGGCUUACCAAGGCUUUGACGGGUAGCCGGCCUGAGAGGGUGACCGGCGCAGUGGGAGUGAGGUGACGGCCCAAGCUGCAAGGGGAGGCAGCGGGGGGGGAUGGUGCACAAGGGGCGAGAGCGCGACGCAGGACGGGGGGGUGCUGGAUGGCGGUCUGCGGGUGGCAGCCCGGUUUGUCGUGUGACGAUGGGGGAGGGACGGUAAUGGAUAAAGAAGGACCGGCUAACUACUAGCGAGCGGGCGGGUGAUAGCGGGGGGAACACGUCUCAGC